RNAcentral lists this ribosomal RNA (522 nucleotides) under Escherichia coli. RNAcentral describes it as "bacterial SSU rRNA". It matches the Rfam family "Bacterial small subunit ribosomal RNA", at positions 642 to 1164 of the family's 1533-position model. Lineage: Bacteria; Pseudomonadati; Pseudomonadota; Gammaproteobacteria; Enterobacterales; Enterobacteriaceae. The record is from RNAcentral.
UUGAGUCUCGUAGAGGGGGGUAGAAUUCCAGGUGUAGCGGUGAAAUGCGUAGAGAUCUGGAGGAAUACCGGUGGCGAAGGCGGCCCCCUGGACGAAGACUGACGCUCAGGUGCGAAAGCGUGGGGAGCAAACAGGAUUAGAUACCCUGGUAGUCCACGCCGUAAACGAUGUCGACUUGGAGGUUGUGCCCUUGAGGCGUGGCUUCCGGAGCUAACGCGUUAAGUCGACCGCCUGGGGAGUACGGCCGCAAGGUUAAAACUCAAAUGAAUUGACGGGGGCCCGCACAAGCGGUGGAGCAUGUGGUUUAAUUCGAUGCAACGCGAAGAACCUUACCUGGUCUUGACAUCCACGGAAGUUUUCAGAGAUGAGAAUGUGCCUUCGGGAACCGUGAGACAGGUGCUGCAUGGCUGUCGUCAGCUCGUGUUGUGAAAUGUUGGGUUAAGUCCCGCAACGAGCGCAACCCUUAUCCUUUGUUGCCAGCGGUCCGGCCGGGAACUCAAAGGAGACUGCCAGUGAUAAACU